GAUGAACGCUGGCGGCGUGCUUAACACAUGCAAGUCGAACGAGAAGUGGAGACGGAAACCUUCGGGCGGAAGACUUUACUUCGAGUGGCGGACGGGUGAGUAACGCGUGGGUAACCUGCCUCAUACAGGGGGAUAACAGUUGGAAACGACUGUUAAUACCGCAUAAGACCACAGCACCGCAUGGUGCGGGGGUAAAAACUCCGGUGGUAUGAGAUGGACCCGCGUUCGAUUAGCCAGUUGGCGGGGUAACGGCCCACCAAAGCGACGAUCGAUAGCCGAUCUGAGAGGAUGACCGGCCACAUUGGGACUGAGACACGGCCCAAACUCCUACGGGAGGCAGCAGUGGGGAAUAUUGCACAAUGGGGGAAGCCCUGAUGCAGCGACGCCGCGUGAGUGAAGAAGUAUUUCGGUAUGUAAAGCUCUAUCAGCAGGGAAGAAAAUGACAGUACCUGAGUAAGAAGCCCCGGCUAACUACGUG
RNAcentral lists this ribosomal RNA (478 nucleotides) under uncultured bacterium. RNAcentral describes it as "partial 16S ribosomal RNA". It matches the Rfam family "Bacterial small subunit ribosomal RNA", at positions 28 to 507 of the family's 1533-position model. The record is from RNAcentral.